RNAcentral lists this ribosomal RNA (253 nucleotides) under uncultured bacterium. RNAcentral's name for it is "partial 16S ribosomal RNA". It matches the Rfam family "Bacterial small subunit ribosomal RNA", at positions 524 to 776 of the family's 1533-position model. The record is from RNAcentral.
UACGUAGGUGGCGAGCGUUGUCCGGAUUUACUGGGCGUAAAGGGAGCGUAGGCGGAUUUUUAAGUGAGAUGUGAAAUACUCGGGCUCAACUUGAGUGCUGCAUUUCAAACUGGAAGUCUAGAGUGCAGGAGAGGAGAAUGGAAUUCCUAGUGUAGCGGUGAAAUGCGUAGAGAUUAGGAAGAACACCGGUGGCGAAGGCGAUUCUCUGGACUGUAACUGACGCUGAGGCUCGAAAGCGUGGGGAGCAAACAGG